GCACUUGUUGACGGAGUUUUAUGUAACCAUACACAAAGCUGUAUACAAUGUUUAAUCCUUAGUCUUCAUGUCGAUAAUUUCAAAAUACAAAAUAUGAAAUUUAAUAUUUUAUUCAACUUCUUUUCAAAAAAAAAUAAAAUAAAACCCUGCUGCCUGCACCAUUUUUUUCUCCACCACCGGAUAAAAUAAGGAAAAGGAAAAAUAAUACGUUGAAAACUCCUACAGAAGAAGAACAAGAAGAAGAAGAGAGGCAAACAGAGACGUAAAGUAAAACAAAAAUGAACACCUGUCCCUAAUCGGAAAGUUGUAACUGCUCGUUCAGCCAUAAAUGGGUUUGCAUCUUUUUUAAUUAUCAAUUGCAACGGUUUUUUAUUUUUACACAACAAUUUCCAUCAUCAUUUAAUUAAGAAAAUAUCCUUUUUCUCUUAAAUUAAUAUAAAUUAAGAAAAAAUACGAUCGCUUUUCUUUUUUUUUUGGUUUGAAAAUUAAUUUUCCAACAAAUUUUGCUGACGAGCAGUAAAAAUGUAAAAUAUUUCUGCUAAAUUGUAUGUCUGUCUCUUUUGUACACCUUCAAAGGAAACUGGUUUAGGACUUUUGGUAUGAUAUACGCCAGACAGAGAUCGAACAUACAAAACAAUCAAACUGAGCCGAGAUCGAGUGAGAGCCUAGAGUUCGAGUUGAAAAAUGAAAAAUUCAAAAUGGUGAAAUUGUCGUCAGGAGGAAUAAAAUAAAAUUGUUGUACAAAAGAUGAAAUUAUUGUCCCUGUUUUAUUUUUAAUAACUAACGACUUACCUUCAACCCUACAAAUAAUCCCAAUUAAGAAAAAUAUGUGCUUUUGACAAGAAUUGAAAUAUCCCAAAAAUUCCAUUGCGAUAGUGAGCAAUACCGAAUUCGUUCAAUUAGUUGCCGAUGAAAUUUGAGUAAUAUUUUGACAUUUUUACUGCCGGUUGUACAAAUGUCAGCAUUGACAUUUUGUUCCCUUCACCGCCUACUCACCGAAUUCCGUGAUUGAGACUUAAAACAAUAAAGAUCAAUUUAUGGCGGAUUAACAUUAUUCUGUACUUUAAAAUCUGGAAACAAAACAAGGCUGCCCAACAACAGUUGGAUAGAGAUAUAAAACCAAAAACGCAAAGGUCUUCACCAACGCAAAUUAUAGGAAGUGCCAUAAUGCAGAUAAGCGGACGAAAUGUUGUUGCAGUCACUCUUCAAAACAUUUGGUUUUUUGGCAUUCAUCUAUACCGUUUUACCAUUCUUCAAUAUUGCAGAAAUGCAGAAACUUGUAAAUUCACCAAUAUAUUUCAUUUUCCUAUAAUUUGAUACUUUCUUGCUAUCCAUAAAAAAUAUUUACUUUUAAAAUGGUGACAGUUUAAAAUGCUGUUGCCAUUUUGGGAAAACCGUAUUUUUUAAAUAUGUUUCUUUGUUAAUAAUUUAAUUCAAAAUAUUUACAUAUGUUUUUAGGUACAUACAUUUUGCCAUGUUUUUUAGGAUAUCAAUUAAUUUUAUUUAUAAGGUUUAUGCUAAAAUCAUUUUGAAGAAAGGCACUUAGAAUGAAAACUAAAAGAAAUCGAAUGAGUGCCAGAAAUUUGAAGAUUCCAAUUGUCCACAGAAGGUGAAUUUAUCCUAACAUAUCAAAAGUUCAAAAAUGAAAAGUUGCUGGAAAAUCAGUAAAUUUGUGUCAAAGAGUAAUCGUGGUUUUAGAUGGACUUUAUUCUUAUUUUUAUGCGUUUUCUUUUUUAGUUCUGAAAAGAGUUCGAACUAUCAGAGUUAAAGAUUCGAAAAUUUCAAUUCCACUGUUAUUUUUUGAUAUUUCUACUUUGCUGACGGAACGGUCGUUAUUCUAAAGAGAUGACUUUAGUAUCAAAAUAUCAAG
Molecule: long non-coding RNA, 1870 nt
Organism: Eupeodes corollae
Lineage: Eukaryota; Metazoa; Arthropoda; Insecta; Diptera; Syrphidae
Exons: 3
Source: RefSeq, a predicted model, not a curated record